UACAGAGGCCUCGAGCGUUAGGCGGAAUCACUGGGCUUAAAGCGUGUGUAGGUGGAUGCCUAAGUACCUUGUGAAAUCCCACGGCUUAACCGUGGAAUUGCUUGGCAUACUGGGUGUCUUGAGCCACUCAGGGGCUACCGGAACAAGCGGUGGAGCGGUGAAAUGCGUAGAUAUCGCUUGGAACGCCAAUGGUGAAAACAGGUAGCUGGGGGUGUGCUGACACUGAGACACGAAAGCCAGGGGAGCAAACGGGAUUAGAAACCCUCGUAGUCC
RNAcentral lists this ribosomal RNA (273 nucleotides) under uncultured bacterium. Its description in RNAcentral is "partial 16S ribosomal RNA". It matches the Rfam family "Bacterial small subunit ribosomal RNA", at positions 524 to 796 of the family's 1533-position model. The record is from RNAcentral.